This 586-nucleotide ribosomal RNA is filed under the name uncultured bacterium. RNAcentral's name for it is "bacterial SSU rRNA". It matches the Rfam family "Bacterial small subunit ribosomal RNA", at positions 338 to 916 of the family's 1533-position model. The record is from RNAcentral.
CCUACGGGAGGCAGCAGUAGGGAAUCUUCCACAAUGGACGAAAGUCUGAUGGAGCAACGCCGCGUGAGUGAAGAAGGUUCUCGGAUCGUAAAACUCUGUUGUGAGGGAAGAACAAGUACCGGAGUAACUGCCGGUACCUUGACGGUACCUCAUUAGAAAGCCACGGCUAACUACGUGCCAGCAGCCGCGGUAAUACGUAGGUGGCAAGCGUUGUCCGGAAUCAUUGGGCGUAAAGCGCGCGCAGGCGGUCCCUUAAGUCUGAUGUGAAAGCCCACGGCUCAACCGUGGAGGGUCAUUGGAAACUGGGGGACUUGAGUGCAGAAGAGGAAAGCGGAAUUCCAAGUGUAGCGGUGAAAUGCGUAGAGAUUUGGAGGAACACCAGUGGCGAAGGCGGCUUUCUGGUCUGUAACUGACGCUGAGGCGCGAAAGCGUGGGGAGCAAACAGGAUUAGAUACCCUGGUAGUCCACGCCGUAAACGAUGAGUGCUAAGUGUUAGGGGGUUUCCGCCCCUUAGUGCUGCAGCUAACGCAUUAAGCACUCCGCCUGGAGAGUACGGUCGCAAGACUGAAACUCAAAUGAAUGACGG